GGCCCCCUGGCGAAACAGGCAGACGCGGCGGGCUUAAAACCCGCUGUCCCGCAAGGGGCGUACCGGUUCGAACCCGGUGGGGGCCA
Molecule: transfer RNA, 86 nt
Filed under: Deltaproteobacteria bacterium
Lineage: Bacteria; Pseudomonadati; Myxococcota; Myxococcia
Description: tRNA-Leu
Rfam family: tRNA
About the family: Transfer RNA (tRNA) molecules are approximately 80 nucleotides in length. Their secondary structure includes four short double-helical elements and three loops (D, anti-codon, and T loops).
Source: RNAcentral